UGAGAGGAUGGGAAAAAUUUAAAACAAAAAAAUAAACCAUAGACUUCUUUAAGUCAUAUAUACAUGUUGCUUGCACUUUUACCUCCCUCCCAUCCUAAAUCUUUACCUUAUUUUGCUAUCGAUGAAAAUAAUAUUCAUUAUUUUUUAAGAUAAAACAUUUAAAAUACCAGACAUAUUAUUCAAAUGGCUUUAUUGUGGUGGUACAUUCUUUAAUUAUAGCAAAUAUUCCUAUCUUUUUCCUACAUCUUAACUGCGUAUAAAGCUAUUUUAAGUAUUAAAUUCAAUUUUUAAUUGUUUUAUUUUCAAUUUUAAGUUGAAAUCUAUUGAUAUACA
Non-coding RNA from Cinara cedri, 333 nucleotides. Lineage: Eukaryota; Metazoa; Arthropoda; Insecta; Hemiptera; Aphididae. The record is from the annotation of a GenBank genome assembly.